RNAcentral lists this ribosomal RNA (448 nucleotides) under uncultured bacterium. RNAcentral's name for it is "bacterial SSU rRNA". It matches the Rfam family "Bacterial small subunit ribosomal RNA", at positions 571 to 1016 of the family's 1533-position model. The record is from RNAcentral.
GCAGACGGUUACUUAAGCAGGAUGUGAAAUCCCCGGGCUCAACCUGGGAACUGCGUUCUGAACUGGGUGACUAGAGUGUGUCAGAGGGAGGUAGAAUUCCACGUGUAGCAGUGAAAUGCGUAGAGAUGUGGAGGAAUACCGAUGGCGAAGGCAGCCUCCUGGGAUAACACUGACGUUCAUGCUCGAAAGCGUGGGUAGCAAACAGGAUUAGAUACCCUGGUAGUCCACGCCGUAAACGAUGAGUGCUAGGUGUUAGACCCUUUCCGGGGUUUAGUGCCGUAGCUAACGCAUUAAGCACUCCGCCUGGGGAGUACGACCGCAAGGUUGAAACUCAAAGGAAUUGACGGGGGCCCGCACAAGCGGUGGAGCAUGUGGUUUAAUUCGAAGCAACGCGAAGAACCUUACCAGGUCUUGACAUCCCUCUGACCGCUCUAGAGAUAGAGUUUUC